Molecule: long non-coding RNA, 181 nt
Organism: Sphaeramia orbicularis (orbiculate cardinalfish)
Lineage: Eukaryota; Metazoa; Chordata; Actinopteri; Kurtiformes; Apogonidae
Exons: 3
Source: RefSeq, a predicted model, not a curated record
UCUCAACUUAUCAUUUAUACACGUGUAUAACACAAUGUUACACAAACAUUUGGUAACAAGCAUAAUAUUAAAAAAAAAUUUGGAGUUUGAAACUAAAAUAGGAACAGUUUCUCAUUUGCUCAGGUCAUUGUUUUUCAGUAGUUCUUUGAGGUUCAACUGGACUAACUUAUUUUAACACAGG